Molecule: ribosomal RNA, 501 nt
Filed under: uncultured bacterium
Lineage: Bacteria
Description: partial 16S ribosomal RNA
Rfam family: Bacterial small subunit ribosomal RNA
Source: RNAcentral
AUUGAACGCUGGCGGCAGGCUCAACACAUGCAAGUCGAGCGGGGGAAGGUAGCUUGCUACCGGACCUAGCGGCGGACGGGUGAGUAAUGCUUAGGAAUCUGCCUAUUAGUGGGGGACAACAUCUCGAAAGGGAUGCUAAUACCGCAUACGUCCUACGGGAGAAAGCAGGGGAUCUUCGGACCUUGCGCUAAUAGAUGAGCCUAAGUCGGAUUAGCUAGGUGGUGGGGUAAAGGCCUACCAAGGCGACGAUCUGUAGCGGGUCUGAGAGGAUGAUCCGCCACACUGGGACGGGGACACGGCCCAGACUCCUACGGGAGGCAGCAGUGGGGAAUAUUGGACAAUGGGGGGAACCCUGAUCCAGCCAUGCCGCGUGUGUGAAGAAGGCCUUAUGGUUGUAAAGCACUUUAAGCGAGGAGGAGGCUACUUUAGUUAAUACCUAGAGAUAGUGGACGUUACUCGCAGAAUAAGCACCGGCUAACUCUGUGCCAGCCGCCGCCGUAA